AUUUGCAGAGGAUGCUUUGGGUUCGGUUCCGGUCUAAGUUCCUUGGAACAGGACGUCAUAGAGGGUGAGAAUCCCGUAUGUGACCGGCCGCCACGCCCGUGUGAAGCUCCUUCGACGAGUCGAGUUGUUUGGGAAUGCAGCUCAAAAUGGGUGGUAAAUUUCAUCUAAAGCUAAAUACUGGCCAGAGACCGAUAGCGCACAAGUAGAGUGAUCGAAAGAUGAAAAGCACUUUGGAAAGAGAGUCAAACAGUACGUGAAAUUGUUGAAAGGGAAGCGCUUGCAACCAGACUUGCCCGUGGGUGAUCAGCCGGUAUUUUUACCGGUGCACUCACCCGCGGUCAGGCCAGCAUCGGUUCGGGCGGCUGGAUAAAGUCCACUGGAAUGUAGCCCCUCUCGGGGAGUGUUAUAGCCAGAGGUGUCAUGCAGCCCGCCCGGACCGAGGACCGCGCUUCGGCUAGGAUGCUGGCGUAAUGGUUGUAAGCGACCCGUCUUGAAACACGGACCAAGGAGUCUAACAUCUAUGCGAGUGUUUGGGUGUCAAACCCAUGCGCGUAAUGAAAGUGAACGGAGGUGGGAACCCUCAAGGGCGCACCAUCGACCGAUCCUGAUGUCUUCGGAUGGAUUUGAGUAAGAGCAUAGCUGUUGGGGACCCGAAAGAUGGUGAACUAUGCCU
Molecule: ribosomal RNA, 673 nt
Filed under: Acarospora novomexicana
Lineage: Eukaryota; Fungi; Ascomycota; Lecanoromycetes; Acarosporales; Acarosporaceae
Description: partial large subunit ribosomal RNA
Rfam family: Eukaryotic large subunit ribosomal RNA
Source: RNAcentral